UUCACUCACCUCUCAUCCAUUUCUCUCAUUUGCUCUAUCAUUCUUUUCCCUUCCUAUUUUCGACUGUUUCCCACUUGAAAAAGAGAGCUUUGCAAGUCCUUGGAGUUGUAGCAUUCAACAUCUUGGUGAUCUUUGAUCGACAUAACAAAGUAGAAGGAAGAAAAGGGAUGCACACUAGUUUAACUUCAGAGAAACACCAAACUUUUCUUCUAAACUUUUUUUCUUUAUUCUUUUUAAUUUGUUUUGAGAUUAUGAAUAUGUUUGCUAAUUGUUUUGAUGGUUUCAAUUUAAUUAAAAUGACUUAAAUUAUGUUAGAUUGGCUACAUUCUAUCCACUUAAACAAUUAAAAUUAUGUUUUGAUGUUAUAGGC
This 370-nucleotide long non-coding RNA is filed under the name Gossypium barbadense (sea-island cotton). Its description in RNAcentral is "long non-coding RNA (GBAR_LNC000175)". The record is from RNAcentral. Lineage: Eukaryota; Viridiplantae; Streptophyta; Magnoliopsida; Malvales; Malvaceae.